RNAcentral lists this ribosomal RNA (306 nucleotides) under uncultured bacterium. RNAcentral's name for it is "bacterial SSU rRNA". It matches the Rfam family "Bacterial small subunit ribosomal RNA", at positions 21 to 358 of the family's 1533-position model. The record is from RNAcentral.
GGCUCAGAGAGAACGCUGGCGGCGUGUUCAACACAUGCAAGACGAACGAACCUUCGGGUUAGUGGCGGACGGGUGAGUAACGCGUGAGACUCUGCCCUCAGGAGGGGGAUAACGGUUGGAAACGACCGCUAAUACCCCAUAUGCCGAGAGGUGAAAAGAAAUUCGCCUGAGGAUGAGCUCGCGUCUGAUUAGCUAGUUGGUGUGGUAAUGGCGCACCAAGGCUUCGAUCAGUAGCUGGUCUGAGAGGAUGAUCAGCCACACUGGGACUGAGACACGGCCCAGACUCCUACGGGAGGCAGCAGUGGG